This 225-nucleotide long non-coding RNA is filed under the name Gallus gallus (chicken). Lineage: Eukaryota; Metazoa; Chordata; Aves; Galliformes; Phasianidae. The record is from RNAcentral.
AGAGAAGGUUACAGAGAUGAAGACUACAAAGGCACAAGUGAUAAAUCCUUAAGAUGGAGACAUUAAGCAAGUUCACAUUGCCUGCUCCUGCACCAGCUGAAGCCCUGGGAAGUGGGAAGUGAAAAUUAUUUUUGGACUAUGUUGUUUGCUCCUCACACAGAGAUAUUGCAACAGAAAAAACAGUCAACAGAAAAACAAACAAACAAACAAACAACAACAAAAAAG